GCACGGAACAACUGCUUAGAUAUUUCAUACCUAGCAGUCCUGCUUUGUUCUCCAUACAACUCUUUUAAAUUGAGAAGUAUGGAUUGAGUGUCCAUGCCUUCAUGUUGCCUCUAUAAUUCAUUGCUCAUAGAGGCAAGUAUGAUACAUUUGACAGUCAAACUAUCAUUUUUCCACAUCUUAUGUGUGGCAACCUCCUCUUCUGUAGCAUCAUCCCCUAGAUCUCCAAGAUCAGUGGUUUCAAGUAUAUAGAAAAUUUUCUCCUGAGUGAGUACUAUCUUUAAAUUCCUCAACCAGUCCACAUAGUUUGGUCCGGUCAACUUGUUGGCAUCUAAGAUGCCUCUUUGUGAAAGUGAAGAAGCCAUUUAAUAAUUCUACAUAUGCAAGAACAAAACUAACAUAAGCAGACCAAUCAUGA
RNAcentral lists this long non-coding RNA (415 nucleotides) under Phoenix dactylifera (date palm). RNAcentral describes it as "long non-coding RNA (PDAC_LNC009766)". The record is from RNAcentral. Lineage: Eukaryota; Viridiplantae; Streptophyta; Magnoliopsida; Arecales; Arecaceae.